This 743-nucleotide ribosomal RNA is filed under the name Curtobacterium sp. T213BO0. RNAcentral describes it as "SSU rRNA". It matches the Rfam family "Bacterial small subunit ribosomal RNA", at positions 731 to 1476 of the family's 1533-position model. Lineage: Bacteria; Bacillati; Actinomycetota; Actinomycetes; Micrococcales; Microbacteriaceae. The record is from RNAcentral.
UGGCCGUAACUGACGUGAGGAGGAAAGCUGGGAGCGAACAGGAUUAGAUACCCUGGUAGUCCACGCCGUAAACGUUGGCGCUAGAUGUAGGGACCUUUCCACGGUUUCUGUGUCGUAGCUAACGCAUUAAGCGCCCCGCCUGGGGAGUACGGCCGCAAGGCUAAAACUCAAAGGAAUUGACGGGGGCCCGCACAAGCGGCGGAGCAUGCGGAUUAAUUCGAUGCAACGCGAAGAACCUUACCAAGGCUUGACAUACACCGGAAACGGCCAGAGAUGGUCGCCCCCUUGUGGUCGGUGUACAGGUGGUGCAUGGUUGUCGUCAGCUCGUGUCGUGAGAUGUUGGGUUAAGUCCCGCAACGAGCGCAACCCUCGUUCUAUGUUGCCAGCGCGUUAUGGCGGGGACUCAUAGGAGACUGCCGGGGUCAACUCGGAGGAAGGUGGGGAUGACGUCAAAUCAUCAUGCCCCUUAUGUCUUGGGCUUCACGCAUGCUACAAUGGCCGGUACAAAGGGCUGCGAUACCGUAAGGUGGAGCGAAUCCCAAAAAGCCGGUCUCAGUUCGGAUUGAGGUCUGCAACUCGACCUCAUGAAGUCGGAGUCGCUAGUAAUCGCAGAUCAGCAACGCUGCGGUGAAUACGUUCCCGGGCCUUGUACACACCGCCCGUCAAGUCAUGAAAGUCGGUAACACCCGAAGCCGGUGGCCUAACCCUUGUGGAAGGAGCCGUCGAAGGUGGGAUCGGUGAUU